Ictalurus punctatus (channel catfish) is the source of this 3780-nucleotide long non-coding RNA. Lineage: Eukaryota; Metazoa; Chordata; Actinopteri; Siluriformes; Ictaluridae. The record is from Ensembl.
AAAAUGAGGAAGAAAUAACGAGUGAUGAUUUGGAGGAAGCCUUUCUCUGUUGUAAAUACCACUUUCUACACACACGCACACACUCACACACACACACACACACACACACACACACACACACACACACACACACACACACACACACUUCACAUAAAACUUGAUAUUAGGCCUGAGCCAAUAAUCGAGUACAAAGCGCAUUGUGCCAUUUCAUUUUGUUACUACUUUAAAAUAAUGUAUAUUUUGAAUGCUGUUGUGUUAAAUUGUGUAGUAGGCUGCCUAAGUAGGGUGCAUUCUCAGGCAGUGACAUAAAGUCUGUCUCCUUAGCACGGAAGUCAGCAAAAAGGACUUCAAAAGGUUCUCAGAGAAUCUCACAAUUCCCAUAAUUCUGUUCAGCGGACAUGGACGAUGCUGAAGGUUUGAGAAACACGGUGGAGAAAAAAACAAAAACGUCACUUUGAUGAAAGUAAGUAAUUUUUUUAACUGACUAUCAUAAUAAUAUCGUAACUCAUGGUAAAAGCUGAGCACUUAUCAUGAUGCGGUAAUUUUAAUAUCGGCACACGCCUCCCUGAUAUACAGGACAGGACCUUUGGUACACUUUUUACAAAAUUGAACAAGGUAUAUAAAAUAAAAAAAAUUUAAAAAACAUACAUAUGCAAAAUAGUAGUUAAGACAGAGCUAUUACACAUGAUAAGUGAUAAUAAUAAACCAUAGUAGAUUAUUUGCUUUAGAUUCACGCUUAUUACCUGAGUAGAGUUAAGAGACAUACUGAUUUAGGACGCUGCAGCUUUAAGAGCAGGCUUUUCUUAACUGUGUUGUGUUUAGGGCACUUUAAUAAGUUUCCCUUAAAUUGUGUUUAACAUGUGUUUGAAUAGGACACACUCUACGCACACUUUGCUCUAUCUCUCGCACACACACACACACACACACACACACACACACUGUUGCUGCUUUUUUCAAUUCAAUUUAGCACCAGUUAGUCCCCGUACAUUUAGGCUGUGUCCCAAACGCUAGCGCUUGAUCCAAACAUUCAGUUCAUAUCACAGAUUUUGAAACCAGAAAGGAAAAAGCAUCAUAAAUUUUCACUGUUGCUAAUAGAUUGAUAGCUAAUGGGCCAAUUAGCAGUUAGCAUAUCAGCAUCAGCACAUUCACCUGACGGAAGAUACAGAUAUACUUAACACCUAUAAAAUCUCUAACCUAGCUUUUAAGUAACUGUACACUCUUUGAAACUCUAUAGAAAAGUAUUAAAUGUAAUGGUUUUCAGACUAGGAAGUCUAGGGACAGUAGAACAUGUACAUGGGCUGGACAAACCAGGCCAAAGAAUUAGGAAAACCGACACUCUGGUGGAGUAGACAAACGAGGAUGAUGAGAAAAUGAUCAAUCUAGGGGACUAGAACAACCAAGAAAUAAAAGCACAACAAGAUGAGAGAGGUGCCUUGCAUAAGUAUUCACCCAGUGACCUGGUAAAGAUGGGAUUAGCCAGAGAAGCAAAGCCAAGGAUAACACUCAACAUGAUGCUACCACCACCAUGCUUCACUGGAUGUUCUCCGGGUGAUGAGCAAUGUGGAUGACCAGAGAACUUUUACACGUUUGCUGAGUCCCCAACAUGCCCCCCCCACCCCCAGGAGCAUGUUUACUGCCAUUUAAACAUGUCCAUUUCUAGGCUUUAACACUGCAAAAGUUCAAGGGGGGUGUAUACUUAUGCAAACCACAGUAUUAGUGAGACAAAGGGAAUUAAAGACUAUAUAUAAUAAAGUAUUUGUGCAAGAUGAUGUGUUUACAGUUGGUGUACGCAAGAGACGGCCAUAACACUAAGCUUUUGCUAUUGAAUCGUUAGUGAAUCGGCUAGAUACCGGUUAGCGUGUGAGAUUAGCGCUCUAUAUAAAUCAACACACUCAUGACUGAGGACAGAGACAUUAAACACUUGUGACCUCCAGCUGUACGUUCCACAUAGCUUCGAGCUUUAACGAUACACUUUAUUUCACACUCAUCUGAACGGUACGUUUGUAAACCAACGCUAAAGUGCAGUGCAUUAUGGGUAAUACACACAGUAUAUUAUAACACAGUGUGUUUACUCCAGUUUUUGGGACAGAGCAUUAAAAAGGUAAACAUUCUACAAAGAGUUCUAGAUCCGAGACAAAAUGGCUAACGAUAUAUUAAGCACACUAACUAGUGAUUAAUUCUAGCAUUUGGGACGGAGCUGUAGGAACUUUGGCUUUACUUGAACUUGAGUUUAUUUCUCAUGCUAAUGUACUGUAUAAACUAAGGCCUAGCACACCAGGAAUGUUACACACACACACACACACACACACACACACACACACACACACACACACACACACGUUGUUGCUAAUUUCACUGUGUUUUUGCCUCCAUAUUUAGCGAUUCACUGUUCACUCUGGAUAAACUAAUUAACACUUAUCUGUGCUUUUUAUGAUAAAAUAUUACACUUUCUUGUUCAUGCAUUUCUUUUGAGUCUUUAAUAUUUAAUACUGAUGUGUAUUAAUCGAUAUUAAUCAACACUUAUCAAUUAAAACUCUUUAAAUGUGGGUGCUAAAUUAGCACGUUUGACCAUUGUACAUACGAACUGUAUUCUGGUUUGCAAUAAUUGCUGAUUGUGUAUGUGUGCGUGUGUGCGUGUGUGUGUGCGUGUGUUUUCUUCGGUUAUCCAAGCUGACUUCGUCAAAUAAAAAUCCUAACACUCAUCUCAACAGAACUGAUUCAUUAAACUGAUUCACAAAGCUAUGAGUCAAUUUAAAGAAUAAAUGUUCAGAGAAUCAUAUUGAUGACUCAGAGAAUGGUUUAGUGAGUCACUUUCAGAAACAAAUCAGCCUUAUACAUAUCAUGUAAUUGAAUCAGUUGUCAUGAAAUGAACAUCAUUUUUUAACGAUGAUUCGUUAAACGGAUUCACUAAACUAAUUUUGAUUACUGAUUGUUUAAAUGAACGAGGAAUUAAGACAAAGAAUUAACUUAAAGAAUCACUUUAAUGAACCAGUUUAAUGAAUAAUUUAAAUUAUUUAUGCGCUUGAUUUUGUCGUGUAUGUUUAUAGUUUAUAAAAUGCCAUUUAGGCAGAACAGUAAGUUUGCAUUUUCUCCUGAUAAUUCCUAUCAUUUUUUAGCUUCUUUUUAAUUCAUGUAUAUCAUAGAUAUAAACUUAGAUUUACAGUAGUCAAGGUAUGUUGACAUGAGAUAAGAUUCCCAGAUCCUGUCUUUACAUUACAGUUGAACACUGUUUUUAUUCCCGCUUAAGGAAAAUUUGUGUAAAUAUUUCAGUUCAACUGUUUUGAUUUCUUUUCUAUAAUCUGUUUUUGUAGUCAUCUUGACUGUCCACUUCAUUACCAUGCUACUGCGCCAUAGUAACGGGAGCAUUACAAGGCGUGCGUGUGUGUGUGUUUACGCCUCACUGUAAUAAUCUUUUACACAUUGGCCUUUACUUUCGAAUAUUACCAAAACUUUUGAACAAUGUACAGAAUCUGUAUAUAAUAAUAAUAAUACUGAUAAUGAUAAUGAUGAUAAUAAUAAUGAUAAUUAAUACGAUGAUUCCUUCUUUGUUCUUUUGUAUGGGAAUAACGGCGUAAAUAUAGAUGAUGUAAUGAGGUUGAUGCAUCAGGAGGUAAAGUGCUUUACUCUGAUUGGUCGGAUCAAUAAAACUGGAACAAAGUGUGAAUAUUAAUACAUUAUUAAUAAAAACACUCAGUCUCAUCACUCUGUGGGAGUUUCUUUUGUGCCUUGUCUCUAUACAAAUGUAGACCACAAAACAAUGCUAAAAUACUACAUUACCUU